Molecule: long non-coding RNA, 850 nt
Organism: Bactrocera latifrons
Lineage: Eukaryota; Metazoa; Arthropoda; Insecta; Diptera; Tephritidae
Exons: 4
Source: RefSeq, a predicted model, not a curated record
UCGGAGGAGAAAUUGUUUUUUUUUUUGUUUUUUGCGCGAAAGUUAAUUGAGUGGUUUUAAUUUGAAAUUUGGAAUAAUUUGAUAUAUCGCGUGGUGCCAACGAUGUUAAGCUUCUCCGGAAGUUGCUAAGUUGGGGUAAAAUGAACACGGAUGACAAUAAACUAGUUAAGAACUGGAAACAAGCAGAACUGGAACUUGAAGAACAAAGCAAACGGAGUACGAGUAAAAUUCUUGAAAAUAUGGUCUUUUAAAAAUAGAUUAUUGUAGUAUUAAUUGCAGUUACCACAAACAGGCUUCAGUUUGAAUGGAUUUGAAUUGUUAGAAAAAGAUCCAACAGGCUCUUGAAGAACAACAAAGAAGUAUCAAAAUAAUAUAUUUGUAUACAACUUUUGGAAUGUACAGCUGUCUUACGACGGCAUAGAUCUGAUUCCACGUUUUACCUAUUAACCAUUGACAUGCAAGACAAAUUCGAUACUAAACCUAGACUGAAUGGUUAUGCUUACAAAACUAGCUAUCAAUCAGAAAGUAAAUAAAUUAUCAAAUCUUAUCGUGCAAAAUACUGCAGCUACAAAGAACCCUGUCUAGCAAGCUGAUGAGUAAUGCUGUCUAACAAUAACAGUCUUUCUAGUAAUCGUAAUAGCAAAGAAUGUCAAAACAAAAAAACAGGAACCUUCGUCAUCAAGUACCUCCUCCCUGGAACUUACUGAUAUAUGCUAAAAAAGACUGUAGAGGAUUUUUCGGGGUAGAAAGUGUAUAGAUGUGAGCAUCCAAUACUGAUCGCUCUAUACUACGAUUUUGUUUGAAAUUAGGAAAGAAAAUGGAAGCCAAAGCUUAAUCAAGACAAAUAACA